UACGUAGGGUGCAAGCGUUGUCCGGAAUUAUUGGGCGUAAAGAGCUCGUAGGCGGUCUGUCGCGUCUGGUGUGAAAACUCAGGGCUUAACUCUGAGCUUGCAUUGGGUACGGGCAGACUAGAGUGUGCUAGGGGAGACUGGAAUUCCUGGUGUAGCGGUGAAAUGCGCAGAUAUCAGGAGGAACACCGGUGGCGAAGGCGGGUCUCGGGGGCAUAACUGACGCUGAGGAGCGAAAGCAUGGGGAGCGAACAGG
RNAcentral lists this unclassified non-coding RNA (253 nucleotides) under uncultured Actinomycetes bacterium. Its description in RNAcentral is "uncultured actinobacterium contains 16S-23S intergenic spacer region". It matches the Rfam family "Bacterial small subunit ribosomal RNA", at positions 524 to 776 of the family's 1533-position model. Lineage: Bacteria; Bacillati; Actinomycetota; Actinomycetes. The record is from RNAcentral.